AGUCACUGACAUUAGAUACCCCCGUAGUCCAGGGUGUAAACGCUGCAGACUUGGUGUUGGGAACCCUUCGGGGGUGCUCAGUGCCGGAGAGAAGUUGUUAAGUCUGCUACUUGGGAGUACGUCCGCAAGGAUGAAACUUAAAGGAAUUGGCGGGGGAGCACCGCAACGGGAGGAGCGUGCGGUUUAAUUGGAUUCAACGCCGAAAAACUCACCAGCAGCGACUGUUACAUGAAAGUCAGGUUGAUGACCUUACUAGAUUUUCAG
This 264-nucleotide ribosomal RNA is filed under the name uncultured archaeon. RNAcentral describes it as "partial 16S ribosomal RNA". It matches the Rfam family "Archaeal small subunit ribosomal RNA", at positions 718 to 982 of the family's 1478-position model. The record is from RNAcentral.